GGGGCUGACUGGAUUUGACAGCGGGUUGAAGCGGUAUGUAAGCAUGUGGAGCCAAGAUGGUAGGCUCCUUAAUCUCUGCUAUCAAAAAUUUAUCUGGCGAAACACGUUACGCUCUCGCUGCCUAAUCGAAGUACAGUAGAUUACUGGCCUAAUCUCGGCACCAGGUGCUGAGACGAGACAUCGCUCAGAAGCUCUUGUUCCGAAGCGUCUGGUUCAGCGGUGUAGGAAUUUCGGGAAUAGUCUUUUGGCGCUCCUCGAGCCUAGGAUGAAGUUUUAGAGGAUACGGUAUCAGUUGGUGGUCCAGGUCUUGCUGAUGCCCGACAAUGAAGUCUGGAAUAAACAUGUAGAAAGCCUAUUGGUUCCCUGUUUGGACGAGGGUUCGAACCCCUCCAGCUCCACUG
Molecule: transfer-messenger RNA, 401 nt
Filed under: Prevotella sp.
Lineage: Bacteria; Pseudomonadati; Bacteroidota; Bacteroidia; Bacteroidales; Prevotellaceae
Rfam family: transfer-messenger RNA
About the family: Bacterial tmRNA, also known as 10Sa RNA or SsrA, is named for its dual tRNA and mRNA-like properties. Its role is to liberate the mRNA from a stalled ribosome. To accomplish this part of the tmRNA is used as a reading frame that ends in a translation stop signal.
Source: RNAcentral